GUCGAACGGCAGCGCGAACUUCGGUUUGGCGGCGAGUGGCGAACGGGUGAGUAAUAUAUCGGAACGUACCCAGUAGCGGGGGAUAACUACCCGAAAGAGUAGCUAAUACCGCAUACGCCCUACGGGGGAAAGGGGGGGAUCGCAAGACCUCUCACUAUUGGAGCGGCCGAUAUCGGAUUAGCUAGUUGGUGGGGUAAAGGCUCACCAAGGCGACGAUCCGUAGCUGGUUUGAGAGGACGACCAGCCACACUGGGACUGAGACACGGCCCAGACUCCUACGGGAGGCAGCAGUGGGGAAUUUUGGACAAUGGGGGAAACCCUGAUCCAGCCAUCCCGCGUGUGCGAUGAAGGCCUUCGGGUUGUAAAGCACUUUUGGCAGGAAAGAAAUCGCAUGGGUUAAUAACCUGUGUGGAUGACGGUACCUGCGGAAUAAGCACCGGCUAACUACGUGCCAGCAGCCGCGGUAAUACGUAGGGUGCAAGCGUUAAUCGGAAUUACUGGGCGUAAAGCGUGCGCAGGCGGUUCGGAAAGAAAGAUGUGAAAUCCCAGGGCUUAACCUUGGAACUGCAUUUUUAACUACCGAGCUAGAGUAUGUCAGAGGGGGGUGGAAUUCCGCGUGUAGCAGUGAAAUGCGUAGAUAUGCGGAGGAACACCGAUGGCGAAGGCAGCCCCCUGGGAUAAUACUGACGCUCAUGCACGAAAGCGUGGGGAGCAAACAGGA
This 721-nucleotide ribosomal RNA is filed under the name uncultured Pseudomonadota bacterium. RNAcentral describes it as "bacterial SSU rRNA". It matches the Rfam family "Bacterial small subunit ribosomal RNA", at positions 61 to 777 of the family's 1533-position model. The record is from RNAcentral. Lineage: Bacteria; Pseudomonadati; Pseudomonadota.